RNAcentral lists this long non-coding RNA (209 nucleotides) under Elaeis guineensis (African oil palm). Its description in RNAcentral is "long non-coding RNA (EGUI_LNC011469)". Lineage: Eukaryota; Viridiplantae; Streptophyta; Magnoliopsida; Arecales; Arecaceae. The record is from RNAcentral.
UUUUGUAUGUCCGACAUGAAGGUCCAACCAUGCUCCUCUAAGGGCCCAAUAUCAUGUAAUAAACAUGUCAAAAACCAACUCCAAAUGUCUUUCGUCUCUGCCUCCACUACGGCUCAUGCAAUGGAAAAAAUAUUUUCAUUACCAUCCUUCCCCACUGCAGCUAGGAGCUAUCCUCCAAAUGAACCCUUCAAGUGACAUCCGUCCAAUCC